AAAAAAAAAAAAAAAAAAAAAAAAAAAAAAAAA
Molecule: non-coding RNA, 33 nt
Filed under: Prorocentrum micans
Lineage: Eukaryota; Dinophyceae; Prorocentrales; Prorocentraceae
Also listed under: 6 other names
Source: RNAcentral